CCCUUAGAUGUCCGGGGCUGCACGCGCGCUACACUGAAGGAAUCAGCGUGCUAAAACCAUUGUCGAAAGGCAUUGGUAAACCCAUUAAAAUCCUACGUGAUUGGGAUCGGGCAUUGCAAUUAUUUCCCUUGAACGAGGAAUUCCCAGUAAGUGUGGGUCAUAAGCUCGCGUUGAUUACGUCCCUGCCCUUUGUACACACCGCCCGUCGCUGCCCGGGACUGAGCCGUUUCGAGAAAAGCGGGGACUGCUGCUGUCGGGGCUUUCGGGCCUUGGCUUCGGUGGAAACCGCUUUAAUCGCAGUGGCUUGAACCGGGCAAAAGUCGUAACA
This 328-nucleotide ribosomal RNA is filed under the name uncultured eukaryote. RNAcentral's name for it is "partial 18S ribosomal RNA". It matches the Rfam family "Eukaryotic small subunit ribosomal RNA", at positions 1470 to 1796 of the family's 1831-position model. The record is from RNAcentral.